Xiphias gladius (swordfish) is the source of this 4071-nucleotide RNA transcript. It is a transcript of the gene named glutamine-rich protein 2, with no coding region annotated. Lineage: Eukaryota; Metazoa; Chordata; Actinopteri; Istiophoriformes; Xiphiidae. The transcript has 18 exons. The record is from RefSeq and is a predicted model, not a curated record.
CCUCAGUUGAUGUUCACAUCAGAAUGGGGACAAAAUGGGAUCUCGGUGACUUUGCCCGCGGCAGGAUUGUUGGUGCCAGACGGGCUGGUUUGAGUAUUUCUGAAACUGCUGGUUGUCGAGUCAGGAUUUGGCAUCAACAGCCUGAAUCCAUGGACCCAGCCUUCCUUGCGUCAACAGUCCAGGCUGGUGGUGGUGUGAUGGUUUGGGGAAUGUUUUCUUGGCUCACUUUGGCUCCUUAGUACCAGUCAGUCAUGGUUUUAAUGCCACAGCCAGUCUGAGUAUUGUCCCUGACCACGUGCUUCACUUUAUGGCCACAGUUCACCAUCUUCUAGUGGCUACUUCCAGCAGGAUAAUGCUCCAUGUCACAAAGCAAAAGUCGUCUCAAACUGGUUUCAUGAACAUGAGUUCAGUGGACUACAGUGGCCUCCCUAGUCUCCAGAUCUGGAUCCAGUGAAACACCUCUGGGAUGUGGUAGAACAGGAGACUGGCAGCCCGACUGUGCAGCGGACAAAUCAGCAGAAAUGAUGUGGUGCAGUCACGUCAACAUUGGACCAGAACCUCAGAGGAAACUUUCCAACAUCUCGGGGAAUCCAGACCACGAAGAACUGGUGCUGUUUUGAGAGCAAAGGGAGGAACCACCCUGUGUUAGUACGGUGUUUCUACUUAAGUGCUGUGAGUGGAUGUUGCAGUAUGAUAGACAAUAGUUGUUUCAGUUGGACUAUUGCAGUUCUUGCUGCUAUGAGGUGAUAUUUAUUGCGAAUAUUUCACAAGGUUUUACUAAAUAUGGAAAAUAGUUGGCAUCAUUUUGUUGAGAAUAAACCUAAUUAUUUUUGUUUUAUUUUUGCUUUACUUUGGAGGGCAGGUGUCUGUUUCCGGUGAAACUGUCCGGUUUGCAGCCGCUGACCUGCCGUUUUCUCGUGAACAUUUUCACAUUCUGCCAACAAACUUCCGAGAUUAACGGUGCCGGUGGGAUGCCGGACACGGCUGCUGACAUUAGAGAAAUUUAUUUUCGGAUGUUAUCCAGUAUAUCUUUGUGUCCUCGCAAGCGGAAUUUGUUAGCUAAAAUAUAAUUUGAUAAGCCAGCUAACGUUAGCUUAACUUUAAUUAACGGUCGUCUUCCCGCUCACAAACAAACAUGUCGGAGGAGAACAUCACCCUGUAUGACUUGCUGAACUUAUCAAUCGGGACACCUCAGCGGGGAGCUGUCAACUUCAGCGCCCUCCACGCCCUGCUCCACGCCGUGCUGAGGCAGCUGGGUAUCCGGGAGAUGAAGAUCCGGUGGAGGGACUCUCCCUCCGGCGACACGCACACCGACGCCCUGGUGGGUGUCACCGGUCCCAGACAGGACCAGCGCACAGAGGGGGAACAGCUCCAGACCGAGGGGGACACGGAGCAGGAGCUUCGGCCCGGCACCGAGCCGCGGGAGCGGCUGGCCGCCUCCCCUGCUCCGGCCCCCUCCUCCGGCAUCCCGCCGGACGGACAGUCAAAGCUGCGGUCCCGCAUCCAGACCUGCGAGGACGGCGUGUCCGAGGCCAUGAGGCUCAUACAGGAGCUCCACAACCAGAAAGACAAUCUGAAGGAUGAUAUUAAGGAGCUCUGCCACCAGCAGAAGACAGUCACCGCAGUGGAGACGUGCUGCCACCGUGUGGACUCCCUGGAGGACACUGUGAGAUCUCUGAGGGACACAUUUCAGAAGUAUCCAGACCCAGAGGAGCUGAGUCGGUGCGUGACCUGGGAUGUCAUGCAGUCAGCUCUGCUCAGUGAGAGCGAGAACCUCCAGAAGGAGCUUGUAAAUUCAGGGGUAGUUGAUCCAGCCACAGCAGUCAAACCCAUACACGCACCUUUCAACAGCAACUUCCCUGCCGGUAACACUUCUGAUACCAGCAUGUCCUCCUCCCCCCACCCUGUCGAGGAUACUGUCAGAACAACAGCCCCUAGUUCUCCAGUGAUUUCUGGAGAGAUUUUGAAUCUCCAGGAGGCCACGGGCGCCCGGCCAGCCACAGAGACCUCUUCAGUCCUGUCAGGGACACCUCAACAGACUCAUUCCAAAACAGGCCCUGAGGAUGCUGGUAUGCCCCUGUCUCGAGAGGCCAGCAGCUCAGAGCGCUACCCAGAGACAGUGGAGGCCCUGAGGAAUAUCGGCAAACUGAAGGAAAAGUUCAGCAAGCUGGAAGCUCGUGUGGUAGCGCUGGAGGAAGGAAAGGUGGACCAGACUCAGCUGGCUCAGCUCAAAGAAGUCGUCACUAACAAGGGUUCUCAAGAUGUGUCUAAUAACCUGAUGGAUCAACUGAACCAGCAGAGAGCUUUAAUAGAUAGUCUUAUGAGUGACCGGGAAAAGCUGGACAACCUGCGAGGCGUCUUGGAGGACAUGAUGCUGUCCUUGACCUCUCAGCUGUCCGGCAGCCUCCAGGACGAGGCUGGGCAGGAUGAGAGCGACAGCCAGGCCCUCGGUCAGCAUACAGAGAGAUCAGCUUUCACCACCAGUGCAGUAAACAUUGGGAGGAAGCUCAGCCGCCUGUUCCAGCACUAUGAGCAACUGCAGGACACAGUGAACAAUCUUCUCCAACAGCAGACAGGAGGCAGAGCAGGGAUGCUGAAGGACAGAGAGAACGUGGAGCUGGUGAACGAUGUGCAGAAGGCGAUUCUGCAGCUUCAAGCAGAGUGUGAAAAACUGCAUGAAACAACCAGGUUUCUGCACGAGGACAACAGACAGAAACAGAGCCACAUAGAGGAGCUGUACAAGACGACAGAGGAGCUGGAGGAGAAGAAGGCUGACAAGCACAUGGUUGAGAGUGAAAUCAAAGCAGAUAAAUCUGCUUUGGACAGCAAAGUGAGCCGUCUGCAGUUUGACUCUGCGACAGAGCAGCUCAACACCAUGUUCCACGAGCUGCUGAACAAAGUGACGGACCAGGAGCAGGACUGGCACAAAGUCAUCGACAAACUCUCCACUGAGAUGGAGUGUAAGCUGAACAGGAUUGAGUUAGACUCUGUGAAGAGGCAGCUGGAAGAUUGCUGGAAGAAUAUUCAUGACAAGCUGCAGGCUCAGGGAGCUCCAGAACACGAGGAUGCUGCUGGUAUUAGAAAACAACUCGUGGACAGAUUUCACUGCCUCUCCUGUGACCGACCUGUUGUCAAGCACACCCCCGGACCAUUACAAAACCAAACAACUUUAUACCCUAAAACAUCACUGAGCUUCUGUCUAAACUCCCCUGCCCUUGUGUUUGGGUGUUUGUUUUUGGGGAAUAAAAGGCAUUUGGUGACGCUGCCCUCCACUCCUGGAUUCCCCUCACACAAGUCCAUCAGGCCGUUCACUGUUUACGCUCUGGAGCAGUUUCGACAGCACUACAGAAGUGAGCGCAUCGCUGAGCUGACGGACUACAGCCACCUGGCCGUGUCCCGGAGCUGUGGGGGGAGUCACACAGUCACCUCGGCCAGCCAACGACGCACCGGCCUGCAGUACAUGAAGCACCACAACCAGCCUGAGGUGGACGCCGGGAUUCAGUCGGAGGAGGUUGAUAUCGUCGGACUGGACGGGCAUAUUUACAGAGGUCGCCUGAAUCCCCCAGCCACCAGAAGUACAGAAACAAAACUACCUACAAUCUCUACCAAAGACGGCAUGUGCAAGAUAAAAGACAAAGCCAAAUGCUCCCCAUCACACAAACCUGCUGCUUCUCCGGAGGUGGGACACAACACUCCGGUUCAUCACCCCCACAGUGCCAAGAGUGCCCAGUGCAGCCGCUCGGCCUCCAGCUGCUCGGGUCGGGACUGGCCGGUGUCGGCUCUGGGCUGCACGUCUCAGAGCUCCAUCGCUCCGGCUUCGGCUGCAGCAGAGAGGACCACAGAGGCUCAGGACAACCAGCAGGCCCACCUGUAGGAGGCGACGGAGAGCUCUGUACUGUUUCUGAUGUGUAAUUAACUUCUGCAGGGAGGUCACCUGCUGGAGCCUCCGCUGACGUGUGUCCAAAGGAGGAGUUAGAGUUGGUAACAAAGACAUGAAUAAACACUUAGAUCUGAUCGCAGCCACAUUAUAGUGUAUUAUAAACCAUUUAUUAAGUGUUUAUAUAUGAUUAU